RNAcentral lists this ribosomal RNA (909 nucleotides) under uncultured Streptococcus sp. RNAcentral describes it as "bacterial SSU rRNA". It matches the Rfam family "Bacterial small subunit ribosomal RNA", at positions 74 to 973 of the family's 1533-position model. Lineage: Bacteria; Bacillati; Bacillota; Bacilli; Lactobacillales; Streptococcaceae. The record is from RNAcentral.
CUUGUACCGAUUGGAUGAGUUGCGAACGGGUGAGUAACGCGUAGGUAACCUGCCUGAUAGCGGGGGAUAACUAUUGGAAACGAUAGCUAAUACCGCAUAACAGUUGUGAUUGCAUGAUGACAACUUAAAAGGGGCAACUGCUCCACUAUCAGAUGGACCUGCGUUGUAUUAGCUAGUUGGUGAGGUAACGGCUCACCAAGGCGACGAUACAUAGCCGACCUGAGAGGGUGAUCGGCCACACUGGGACUGAGACACGGCCCAGACUCCUACGGGAGGCAGCAGUAGGGAAUCUUCGGCAAUGGGGGUAACCCUGACCGAGCAACGCCGCGUGAGUGAAGAAGGUUUUCGGAUCGUAAAGCUCUGUUGUAAGAGAAGAACGUGUGUGGGAGUGGAAAGUCCACAUAAUGACGGUAUCUUACCAGAAAGGGACGGCUAACUACGUGCCAGCAGCCGCGGUAAUACGUAGGUCCCGAGCGUUAUCCGGAUUUAUUGGGCGUAAAGCGAGCGCAGGCGGUUAGAUAAGUCUGAAGUCAAAGGCUGUGGCUCAACCAUAGUUUGCUUUGGAAACUGUUUAACUUGAGUGCAAGAGGGGAGAGUGGAAUUCCAUGUGUAGCGGUGAAAUGCGUAGAUAUAUGGAGGAACACCUGUGGCGAAAGCGGCUCUCUGGCUUGUAACUGACGCUGAGGCUCGAAAGCGUGGGUAGCGAACAGGAUUAGAUACCCUGGUAGUCCACGCCGUAAACGAUGAGUGCUAGGUGUUAGGCCCUUUCCGGGGCUUAGUGCCGCAGCUAACGCAUUAAGCACUCCGCCUGGGGAGUACGACCGCAAGGUUGAAACUCAAAGGAAUUGACGGGGGCCCGCACAAGCGGUGGAGCAUGUGGUUUAAUUCGAAGCAACGCGAAGAACCUUA